AUGGAGAGGCAACGGGCCCUGGCCGAGGCGAACCAGCAGCGCGGCCAGCUGGCCAACGACAAGGGCCGGAUCCAGGCCGAGGUGGAUCGCCUGCGGGAGCGGGACGCCGCGGCCGAGGAGGCUUGUCAGGACGAGACUCAUCGCUGGGAGGCGGCUGAGAAGGCGGCCGAAGACAGGGACUCCGAGUUGAAGGCGACCCUUGCUAAGGCGGCCGAUCUGGAGAAGGCACUCGGGGAGCGCGACCGCGUCAUGGAGCGGGAGCAGCGUGGUACGUUGCUCGAGGCGCAACACCUGGAAGAUUCCUUCUCCAGGGCAUUCCCGGAGACGCAGCAGCUGGCGGAGGAAGCCGUCCGCUACCGGCGCCACCCGACCGGCGUUGUCGGGUCUGGGACGGAUCCGCGGGUGGCCUGGACCUUCCCGGAGAUCAUUGCCACUUCAGAGGCCCACCUGCGGGUCCUCGGGACACAGAUGGAGUGGCUGUCCCAGGCUGGCACCACGAUGACGGCGGCCCUGUGGCCGGACUCCGUCCAUCCGCCCAGCUUCUCGCGCCUGGCGUGUUGGUUGGAGAUGGGCCCAGACCAUCUUGGUGAGUGGCGUGUUUCCGCCACCCGUGCCGGUGCCGAGAUGGCGCUUCAGUUCGUGCUGUCUUGGCAUCCGGAUCUUCAGCUGGACGCGCUGAUGGGCCAGCGCGCUGGUUCGGAGUAG
RNAcentral lists this ribosomal RNA (705 nucleotides) under Triticum aestivum (bread wheat). RNAcentral's name for it is "partial small subunit ribosomal RNA". Lineage: Eukaryota; Viridiplantae; Streptophyta; Magnoliopsida; Poales; Poaceae. The record is from RNAcentral.